CUCUUGUUCUAGGCACUAAUCUUGACACUGAGAUCAUUACUUAAUACCUGGGGGGUAUCUGUCUAAUGUUUGUUUGUUGUUUUUUUUUUUCCCUUUAUUUUUUCUCAUAAUAUAAAUUUACAUUUCAGAGUCCAUUCACAUGUGCUAACCUAGUUAUGAGCCAGCUUCACUCUUCAUGAACUUCCUGCCUACAGGCAUUUUUUGUAAAUUGCUGUAAUAUGAUAACUGGAAAUCCUUUUUACUAUCUCGAAACAGGAAAUAAACAUCCUGUUGUGAGAAGAGAAUUAGAAUGAUGCGUGAUGCCUCUUUUGUAAUUUACUCAACUUGGUAGAAUAUAUUAUGUAGGAAGGACUUUUAGGGCAUUAAAGCAAAGAUGACCAGCCAUAAAUCAACCUCUAUGAGAGCAUGCUGAAUCCCUGUUGAAUAGCACUUAGAUCAUUCUUGUUCAGCUUGAGCAUAGAAGGUGUUUCCUUAAAUGUCAGAAGUGUCUGUCUGCAGAAUGUACGUGGGGCAGGCUUUUGUAAAGUGGAGAUUGCCUUUUUAUUGGCAUGCAGAAAAGUCUUUGAUAUCUGGGUUCUUGAGGACAUUGGCAUCAAUUAUAUGAGAAGAAAGCAACCCUGUCUCAGCACUGGGCACAGAAAACAGCAUAUUCAGACCACCUACCCUUCCACAGUACAAUAAAAAAAUGUACUAGAUAUACCUGCACGUGUGUCUUCUAAGUCUGGGUUUGUAAGCAUAACCAGAAGACAAAAUAGAAAAGGGCAUUUGGGAUUUGCCUGUCUUUUUACUACUAAAUCUGAAUACAUUUUCUAGGGAAUAAGAAAUGACCUCAGUGGCGUCUGUUUAGCUGAGUUGGCUAGGUUCAGUGGUGUCUAAAUCCUUAAACGUUUCCUUUCUAUAUCUUCUCAUUUCACACAUGGUACUGGUCUCCUUUUCUAAACCCCUUUGGUAAAACCAUUCCCUUU
RNAcentral lists this long non-coding RNA (965 nucleotides) under Meleagris gallopavo (turkey). Its description in RNAcentral is "lncRNA (ENSMGAG00000022041.1)". Lineage: Eukaryota; Metazoa; Chordata; Aves; Galliformes; Phasianidae. The record is from RNAcentral.